RNAcentral lists this transfer RNA (75 nucleotides) under Candidatus Sumerlaeota bacterium. RNAcentral's name for it is "tRNA-Val". It matches the Rfam family "tRNA". Rfam says of the family: Transfer RNA (tRNA) molecules are approximately 80 nucleotides in length. Their secondary structure includes four short double-helical elements and three loops (D, anti-codon, and T loops). The record is from RNAcentral. Lineage: Bacteria; Candidatus Sumerlaeota.
GGGCGGUUAGCUCAGCGGGAGAGCAUCGGCCUUACAAGCCGAGGGUCACAAGUUCAAAUCUUGUACCGCCCACCA